RNAcentral lists this ribosomal RNA (768 nucleotides) under uncultured archaeon. RNAcentral's name for it is "bacterial SSU rRNA". It matches the Rfam family "Archaeal small subunit ribosomal RNA", at positions 84 to 853 of the family's 1478-position model. The record is from RNAcentral.
UACUGCUCAGUAACACGUAGCUAAUCUAACUUUAGGUCAAGAAUAAUCUCGGGAAACUGAGUGUAAAUCUUGAUAGGAGAUGAUUUCUGGAAGGAGUUAUCUUUCAAAUUCGAGCCUAAAGAUGAGGCUGCGGCGGAUUAGGUAGUUGGCGGGGUAAUAGCCCACCAAGCCAAUGAUCCGUAAGGGUUCUUAGCGGAAGGGCCCUGAGAUGGAAUCUUAGACACUAUUCCAAGCCCUACGGGGUGCAGCAGUUAGGGAUUUUCUCCAAUGCGCGAAAGCGUGAGAGAGCGAGCCAGAGUGCUUUUCUAUUUUAUAGAAUUGCUUUUGCCAGCUGUAAAAAUGCUGGCGAAUAAGGACUGGGCAAGACCGGUGCCAGCCGCCGCGGUAAUCCCGGCGGUCCAAGUCGUAGCCACAAUUAUUGGGUCUAAAACAUCCGUAGCUUGUUUAAUAAGUCUCUUGUGAAAUCCAACAUCUUAAGUGUUGGGCGUGCAAAAGAUACUGUUAAGCUAGAGACUGGGGGACGCAAGAAGUACAUUCAAGGUAGUGGUAAAAUACGUUGAUCUUGGGUGGACUAACAACAGCGAAGGCAUCUUGCGAUAACAGUUCUGACAGUGAGGGAUGAAGGCUAGGGGCGCAAAAGGGAUUAGAUACCCCUGUAGUCCUAGCAGUAAACACUGCACACUAAACAUCGGGAUCUCCUCGAGAGACUUCGGUGCUGAAGCGAAGGUGAAAAGUGUGCUACCUGGGAAGUAUAGCCGCAAGGUCGAA